AGCUCUGAGGUGUUUUACAUAUUAGAUUGCAAAUCUAAAGAAGCAGGCUAACUCCCUGCCGGGGCUU
Molecule: transfer RNA, 67 nt
Filed under: Thamnaconus modestus (black scraper)
Lineage: Eukaryota; Metazoa; Chordata; Actinopteri; Tetraodontiformes; Monacanthidae
Also listed under: 6 other names
Description: tRNA-Cys
Rfam family: tRNA
About the family: Transfer RNA (tRNA) molecules are approximately 80 nucleotides in length.
Source: RNAcentral